Molecule: ribosomal RNA, 253 nt
Filed under: uncultured bacterium
Lineage: Bacteria
Description: partial 16S ribosomal RNA
Rfam family: Bacterial small subunit ribosomal RNA
Source: RNAcentral
GACAGAGGGUGCAAACGUUGCUCGGAAUCACUGGGCGUAAAGGGCGUGUAGGCGGGAAGGAUAGUCAGAUGUGAAAGCCCUGGGCUCAACCCAGGAACUGCAUUUGAAACUCCCUUUCUUGAGUGUCGGAGAGGAAAGCGGAAUUCCUGGUGUAGAGGUGAAAUUCGUAGAUAUCAGGAGGAACACCGGUGGCGAAGGCGGCCUUCUGGACGACAACUGACGCUGAGACGCGAAAGCGUGGGGAGCAAACAGG